CCUACGGGUGGCUGCAGUAAGGAAUAUUGGACAAUGGACGCAAGUCUGAUCCAGCCAUGCCGCGUGCAGGAUGAAGGUCCUCUGGAUUGUAAACUGCUUUUAUGGGGGGCGAAACGUAGGGUUUCUACUUUAUUUGACGGUACCCCAUGAAUAAGCACCGGCUAACUCCGUGCCAGCAGCCGCGGUAAUACGGAGGGUGCAAGCGUUAUCCGGAUUUACUGGGUUUAAAGGGUGCGUAGGCGGGUUGGUAAGUCAGUGGUGAAAUCCUGCAGCUU
RNAcentral lists this ribosomal RNA (275 nucleotides) under uncultured bacterium. RNAcentral describes it as "partial 16S ribosomal RNA". It matches the Rfam family "Bacterial small subunit ribosomal RNA", at positions 338 to 610 of the family's 1533-position model. The record is from RNAcentral.